This 466-nucleotide ribosomal RNA is filed under the name uncultured bacterium. RNAcentral describes it as "bacterial SSU rRNA". It matches the Rfam family "Bacterial small subunit ribosomal RNA", at positions 30 to 490 of the family's 1533-position model. The record is from RNAcentral.
AUUGAACGCUGGCGGCAGGCCUAACACAUGCAAGUCGAGCGGUAGAGAGGUGCUUGCAUCUCUUGAGAGCGGCGGACGGGUGAGUAAUGCCUAGGAAUCUGCCUAGUGGUGGGGGAUAACGUUCGGAAACGGACGCUAAUACCGCAUACGUCCUACGGGAGAAAGCGGGGGAUCUUCGGACCUCGCGCCAUUAGAUGAGCCUAGGUCGGAUUAGCUAGUUGGUGAGGUAAUGGCUCACCAAGGCGACGAUCCGUAACUGGUCUGAGAGGAUGAUCAGUCACACUGGAACUGAGACACGGUCCAGACUCCUACGGGAGGCAGCAGUGGGGAAUAUUGGACAAUGGGCGAAAGCCUGAUCCAGCCAUGCCGCGUGUGUGAAGAAGGUCUUCGGGUUGUAAACUGCUUUGUACGGACGAAACGGUGAGCGUCUAAUACAGUUUGCUAAUGACGGUACCGUAAGAAUAAG